Molecule: ribosomal RNA, 312 nt
Filed under: uncultured soil bacterium
Lineage: Bacteria
Description: bacterial SSU rRNA
Rfam family: Bacterial small subunit ribosomal RNA
Source: RNAcentral
AGAUUGAACGCUGGCGGCAUGCCUUACACAUGCAAGUCGAACGGCAGCACGGGGGCAACCCUGGUGGCGAGUGGCGAACGGGUGAGUAACAUAUCGGAACGUGCCCUGGAGUGGGGGAUAACUAGUCGAAAGAUUAGCUAAUACCGCAUACGAUCUACGGAUGAAAGUGGGGGAUCGCAAGACCUCAUGCUCGUGGACGCGGCCGAUAUCUGAUUAGCUUAGGUUGGGUGGGGUAAACGGCCUACCGAAGGCAUCGAUCAGUAGCGUGGUCUAGGAGAGGACCGACCACGCCCACACGUGGACUGAACGACC